This 682-nucleotide long non-coding RNA is filed under the name Manacus vitellinus (golden-collared manakin). RNAcentral's name for it is "lncRNA (ENSMVIG00005010898.1)". Lineage: Eukaryota; Metazoa; Chordata; Aves; Passeriformes; Pipridae. The record is from RNAcentral.
CCAGCUGCAGGCGCUGGUGUUCGGCAUGGCCGGCUGCAUCGAGACCUUGGAGAGGCGCCUGGAAGCCGUGGAGACACUGGCAUCUUCCUGCAGCCCUCAGAAGAAUACUGCCCAGAGCCAGCAGCUCUUCCUGCCAGACCCCAGCCCCAGGAAGAACAGGGCUGCUGGCUCAGCUUUGCCAGCCAAAAGGAAGGUUCCGGGAGAGUCUCUCAUUAACCCUGGUUUCAAAAGCAAGAAAGCAUCAUCUGGAGUGAAUUUCGAGGACUCCUGAGUGGUGCUGUCCUGUGCCCUGAUGACAGCCCUGUGGAGCCCUAUCAGCAUGCGCGUGGGUGGAGGAGAGAGUGCCCGGUGUCUGGGGCCAGCUGAGCCCCUCUCACCCAGGGAGGCAACAGAGCCAUCAGCACAUGGCAGCUGACCCUCCACUGGGGUGGUGGCCGGGCCUUUGAGGAGACACCAGUGGUUGCUUUCUUCCCAGCAGCUCUUCCCUGCUGGCAGGGGCCACCUCUUGACUUCAUUUUCCUUGAAUUGGUGGGGUUUGGAAGGAAUUUUUGUAGCACUGCAGAACGGAAGGAUUGCCUGUGCUUAUCUUCUUUCCAGUAAAGGUGUUUUUAGCCAGCCAGUCUCUGUGGAUGUGUCGGUGUAUUCUGCCUCUCCCGUUCCCAGGAAGCCUUGGGCCAGUUUC